RNAcentral lists this ribosomal RNA (253 nucleotides) under uncultured bacterium. Its description in RNAcentral is "partial 16S ribosomal RNA". It matches the Rfam family "Bacterial small subunit ribosomal RNA", at positions 524 to 776 of the family's 1533-position model. The record is from RNAcentral.
GACGUAGGGCGCGAGCGUUGUCCGGAUUUAUUGGGCGUAAAGAGCUCGUAGGCGGCUUGUCGCGUCGUCCGUGAAAACUUGGGGCUCAACCCCAAGCUUGCGGUCGAUACGGGCAGGCUAGAGUUCGGUAGGGGAGACUGGAAUUCCUGGUGUAGCGGUGAAAUGCGCAGAUAUCAGGAGGAACACCGGUGGCGAAGGCGGGUCUCUGGGCCGAUACUGACGCUGAGGAGCGAAAGCGUGGGGAGCGAACAGG